RNAcentral lists this ribosomal RNA (438 nucleotides) under Pseudomonas aeruginosa. RNAcentral describes it as "partial 23S ribosomal RNA". It matches the Rfam family "Bacterial large subunit ribosomal RNA", at positions 480 to 926 of the family's 2925-position model. The record is from RNAcentral. Lineage: Bacteria; Pseudomonadati; Pseudomonadota; Gammaproteobacteria; Pseudomonadales; Pseudomonadaceae.
CUGACCGAUAGUGAACCAGUACCGUGAGGGAAAGGCGAAAAGAACCCCGGAGAGGGGAGUGAAAUAGAACCUGAAACCGUAUGCGUACAAGCAGUGGGAGCCUACUUGUUAGGUGACUGCGUACCUUUUGUAUAAUGGGUCAGCGACUUAUAUUCAGUGGCAAGCUUAACCGUAUAGGUAGUAGCGAAAGCGAGUCUUAAUAGGGCGUUUAGUCGCUGGGUAUAGACCCGAAACCGGGCGAUCUAUCCAUGAGCAGGUUGAAGGUUAGGUAACACUGACUGGAGGACCGAACCCACUCCCGUUGAAAAGGUAGGGGAUGACUUGUGGAUCGGAGUGAAAGGCUAAUCAAGCUCGGAGAUAGCUGGUUCUCCUCGAAAGCUAUUUAGGUAGCGCCUCAUGUAUCACUCUGGGGGGUAGAGCACUGUUUCGGCUAGGGGG